CGCUCUCCCCAGUACGAGAGGACCGGGAGGGACGCACCUCUGGUGUACCGGUUGUGGCGCCAGCCGCACCGCCGGGUAGCUAAGUGCGGACGGGAUAACCGCUGAACGCAUCUAAGCGGGAAACCCUCCUCAAAACCAGGUCUCGCCAAGAGCCGUGGAAGACCACCACGUCGAUAGGCCGGAGGUGGAAAGGGCGCAAGCCCCGCAGCUGACCGGUACUAAUCGCUCGACAAGCGCUUGAUU
This 243-nucleotide ribosomal RNA is filed under the name Alphaproteobacteria bacterium. RNAcentral describes it as "partial 23S ribosomal RNA". It matches the Rfam family "Bacterial large subunit ribosomal RNA", at positions 2670 to 2925 of the family's 2925-position model. The record is from RNAcentral. Lineage: Bacteria; Pseudomonadati; Pseudomonadota; Alphaproteobacteria.